This 371-nucleotide ribosomal RNA is filed under the name uncultured organism. RNAcentral describes it as "bacterial SSU rRNA". It matches the Rfam family "Bacterial small subunit ribosomal RNA", at positions 526 to 896 of the family's 1533-position model. The record is from RNAcentral.
CAGAGGUGGCAAGCGUUGUUCGGAAUUACUGGGCGUAAAGGGCGCGUAGGCGGCCAUCUAAGUCAGACGUGAAAUCCCCCGGCUUAACCUGGGAACUGCGUCUGAUACUGGACGGCUUGAGUAUGGGAGAGGGAUGUAGAAUUCCAGGUGUAGCGGUGAAAUGCGUAGAUAUCUGGAGGAAUACCGGUGGCGAAGGCGGCAUCCUGGACCAUUACUGACGCUGAGGCGCGAAAGCUAGGGGAGCAAACGGGAUUAGAUACCCCGGUAGUCCUAGCCCUAAACGAUGAAUGCUUGGUGUGGCGGGUAUCGAUCCCUGCCGUGCCGAAGCUAACGCAUUAAGCAUUCCGCCUGGGGAUACGGUCGCAAGGCUG